This 230-nucleotide ribosomal RNA is filed under the name uncultured bacterium. RNAcentral's name for it is "partial 16S ribosomal RNA". It matches the Rfam family "Bacterial small subunit ribosomal RNA", at positions 562 to 791 of the family's 1533-position model. The record is from RNAcentral.
AAAGGGUGUGUAGGCGGGCAGUUAAGUCAGUGGUGAAAUCUCCAGGCUCAACCUGGAAACUGCCAUUGAUACUAUCUGUCUUGAAUUUUGUUGAGGUAGGCGGAAUAUGUCAUGUAGCGGUGAAAUGCAUAGAUAUGACAUAGAACACCAAUUGCGAAGGCAGCUUACUAAGCAAAUAUUGACGCUGAGGCACGAAAGCGUGGGGAUCAAACAGGAUUAGAUACCCCAGU